Molecule: long non-coding RNA, 545 nt
Filed under: Musa acuminata (dwarf banana)
Lineage: Eukaryota; Viridiplantae; Streptophyta; Magnoliopsida; Zingiberales; Musaceae
Description: long non-coding RNA (MACU_LNC000567)
Source: RNAcentral
CAAUUAUCGGUGAUGUUCAAGAUAGCAAUUUCUUCUCUUUUGUAAUUUUUGCCUUUUUCUUGAAUUGUGCUAGCAAUCUAUCUCCCCCUUUGUCAUUGUCAAAAAAAAGGGAAAAACCCUUUACAUCAAUUUCUAAAUUAUGACAAAGGUAAGUAAUCAUUCUUAUUUGUGCAUCAUUAUAGUUUCAAUGCACAAAUUCAUUAUCAUUACAUUUCAUUUUUUUUUUAUGCACGAUACCGAAAAAUCAAUCAUCAUCAUGAGCAUAUCAAACAUGAUAUUCAAGCAUUCAUGAUAUAUCAUUUUGGCAACAUGAUCAUAGAUAUUCAAACGAUGGUAUCUAAAUGUCAGAAUUCAUUACAUCCUAUUAUGCAUGAUCAUUAACUCCUCAUUUGUAUUUCAUGCAUUAUUUCAUUUCAUCUCAUAAGGAAUAUCAAGAAGAGUUAUUGGAUGAUGAGAUAAAUAUUUUAUGAAUACACGGAAUAUCAUAAGUGUUUCAUGUAUUCAUAUUAUCACAUGAAGCAUAUUAUCAUUUUUAAGAUUCAUAA